UUGUCAGGUAGGAUAAUCCUUACCUGUUCCUCUCAUCAGAGGGCAAAUAGAACAUGAUGAUUGGAGUUCGCAUGAUACGUGCUGAACAUUUCUGUGUGAUUAGGACUCACAACACCCUAAUCACUCCUAUCUGAU
Sorex araneus (European shrew) is the source of this 135-nucleotide small nucleolar RNA. Its record names the gene U8. It matches the Rfam family "U8 small nucleolar RNA". From Rfam's summary of the family: U8 is a member of the C/D class of snoRNA which contain the C (UGAUGA) and D (CUGA) box motifs. U8 is the RNA component of a small complex (the U8 snoRNP) which is required for accumulation of mature large subunit ribosomal RNAs, 5.8S and 28S rRNAs. The record is from Ensembl. Lineage: Eukaryota; Metazoa; Chordata; Mammalia; Eulipotyphla; Soricidae.